UCUUCAUUUCACAUACUCACUCGACCGGAUGAGUGACGAGAGAGUGUGUGAAAUGAAGAGA
Molecule: microRNA precursor, 61 nt
Filed under: Pristionchus pacificus
Lineage: Eukaryota; Metazoa; Nematoda; Chromadorea; Rhabditida; Neodiplogasteridae
Description: mir-8364 microRNA precursor family
Rfam family: mir-8364 microRNA precursor family
Source: Rfam by way of RNAcentral